Molecule: ribosomal RNA, 566 nt
Filed under: Salmonella enterica
Lineage: Bacteria; Pseudomonadati; Pseudomonadota; Gammaproteobacteria; Enterobacterales; Enterobacteriaceae
Also listed under: 1 other name
Description: partial 23S ribosomal RNA
Rfam family: Bacterial large subunit ribosomal RNA
Source: RNAcentral
CAAUCAAACCGGGAGAUAGCUGGUUCUCCCCGAAAGCUAUUUAGGUAGCGCCUCGUGAAUUCAUCUCCGGGGGUAGAGCACUGUUUCGGCUAGGGGGCCAUCCCGGCUUACCAACCCGAUGCAAACUGCGAAUACCGGAGAAUGUUAUCACGGGAGACACACGGCGGGUGCUAACGUCCGUCGUGAAGAGGGAAACAACCCAGACCGCCAGCUAAGGUCCCAAAGUCAUGGUUAAGUGGGAAACGAUGUGGGAAGGCCCAGACAGCCAGGAUGUUGGCUUAGAAGCAGCCAUCAUUUAAAGAAAGCGUAAUAGCUCACUGGUCGAGUCGGCCUGCGCGGAAGAUGUAACGGGGCUAAACCAUGCACCGAAGCUGCGGCAGCGAACGUAUCACCCAAGACAACUUUACGGAGUUGACGAUUGACGGAGCGAAGCGACGUCAAAGCGUUCAUUAAAGUCGAGUUGGCUUAGGGAUACGUUCGUUGGGUAGGGGAGCGUUCUGUAAGCCUGUGAAGGUGUGUCGUGAGGCAUGCUGGAGGUAUCAGAAGUGCGAAUGCUGACAUAAGUA